RNAcentral lists this ribosomal RNA (253 nucleotides) under uncultured bacterium. Its description in RNAcentral is "partial 16S ribosomal RNA". It matches the Rfam family "Bacterial small subunit ribosomal RNA", at positions 524 to 776 of the family's 1533-position model. The record is from RNAcentral.
GACAGAGGGUGCUAGCGUUGUUCGGAAUCACUGGGCUUACAGGGUGCGUAGGCGGCUUAGCAAGUUAGGUGUGAAAGCCCCCGGCUCAACCGGGGAACUGCGCUUGAAACUGCUGAGCUCGAGUCAGCUAGAGGUACACGGAACUUCCAGUGGAGCGGUGAAAUGUGUUGAUAUUGGAAGGAACACCGGAGGCGAAAGCGGUGUACUGGGGCUGGUCUGACGCUGAGGCACGAAAGCCAGGGGAGCGAACGGG